AUCCACUGCUGCCUUCUUCCCUAUACUACUACUCUUUGUCUUUUGAUCAACCCGGUGCUGCGACCCAGCUUCCCUUCCUAAGAUCAAUUUGCAGAGCCCGGCAGUACUCUCCGCUCCCUUAGCAGACCUCCUGCAGUAUCCAAUAUAAUAAGUGCAGUGAUGGUUAUUUAUAAUGUAAUGGACAAUAUAGGUGUUGCAAGUACGAAUCCAAAAGGUAGAGAGAAUAAAUUCUUUUGCACAUGAGAAUGCAAGCAGCAAAAAUAUGCAGAUAGGUUCUUUUGAGGAAAAUCAUUAUAAACCCUUGCUUUUUUUCCCACUGCAACUAUUUCAAUAUGGAUCAAACGAAUGUAUGUUUUCUUACCAAAAAUAUAUAUGGGUAUUAACGUCUAUUUAAGUUGUACAUCAGUUUUCUUGGCUCAUUAUUUUACUAUUUGUUUAUAAGAAUAUAUAUUUCAUUUCAGUCA
Molecule: long non-coding RNA, 464 nt
Organism: Lathyrus oleraceus (garden pea)
Lineage: Eukaryota; Viridiplantae; Streptophyta; Magnoliopsida; Fabales; Fabaceae
Exons: 2
Source: RefSeq, a predicted model, not a curated record